AGGGGGUUUGAUCCUGGGCUCAGAACGAACGCUGGCGGCGCGCCUAACACAUGCAAGUCGAGCGAGAGGCCGGGGCAACCCGGUAGUACAGCGGCAAACGGGUGAGGAAUACGUGGGUGACCUACCCCUGAGUGGGGAAUAACCUGCCGAAAGGUGGGCUAAUACCGCAUACGCUGUCUGGUUUGCGGAUCAGGCAGGAAAGCCGUCCCGUGGGGGCGGCGCUCGAGGAUGGGCUCAUGUCCUAUCAGCUUGUUGGUAGGGUAACGGCCUACCAAGGCAACGACGGGUAGCUGGUCUGAGAGGAUGAUCAGCCACACUGGGACUGCGACACGGGCCAGACUCCUACGGGAGGCAGCAGUUGAGGAAUAUUGCGCAAUGGUGCUGAAAGCCUGACGCAGCGACGCCGCGUUGGGGGAUGAAGGUCUUCUGAUUGU
This 434-nucleotide ribosomal RNA is filed under the name uncultured bacterium. Its description in RNAcentral is "bacterial SSU rRNA". It matches the Rfam family "Bacterial small subunit ribosomal RNA", at positions 1 to 426 of the family's 1533-position model. The record is from RNAcentral.